GAUGAAGAACGUAGCGAAAUGCGAUAAGUAAUGUGAAUUGCAGAAUUCAGUGAAUCAUCGAAUCUUUGAACGCACAUUGCGCCCCUUGGUAUUCCGAGGGGCAUGCCUGUUCGAGCGUCAUUAUAACCCCUCAAGCUCAGCUUGGUGUUGGGGCCUGCUGCACUGGCAGCCCUUACAAUCAGUGGCGGCGCCAUCUGGCUCUAAGCGUAGUAAUUCUUCUCGCUAUGGAGUCCUGGUGGAUGCUUGCCAUCAACCCCCAAUUUUUCUAUGGUUGACCUCGGAUCAGGUAGGGAUACCCGCUGAACUUAAGCAUAUCAAUAAGCGGAGGA
RNAcentral lists this unclassified non-coding RNA (329 nucleotides) under soil metagenome. Its description in RNAcentral is "partial contains 5.8S ribosomal RNA, internal transcribed spacer 2, and large subunit ribosomal RNA". The stretch from base 1 to 120 matches the Rfam family "5.8S ribosomal RNA", at positions 35 to 154 of the family's 154-position model. The record is from RNAcentral.